RNAcentral lists this ribosomal RNA (483 nucleotides) under uncultured bacterium. Its description in RNAcentral is "partial 16S ribosomal RNA". It matches the Rfam family "Bacterial small subunit ribosomal RNA", at positions 28 to 507 of the family's 1533-position model. The record is from RNAcentral.
GACGAACGCUGGCGGCGUGCUUAACACAUGCAAGUCGAACGCUGAAGCUCAGCUUUUGUUGGGUGGAUGAGUGGCGAACGGGUGAGUAACACGUGAGUAACCUGCCUCCUUCUUUGGGAUAACGCCCGGAAACGGGUGCUAAUACUGGAUAUUCACUGGUCUUCGCAUGGGGGUUGGUGGAAAGGGUUUUUCUGGUGGGGGAUGGGCUCGCGGCCUAUCAGCUUGUUGGUGGGGUGAUGGCCUACCAAGGCUUUGACGGGUAGCCGGCCUGAGAGGGUGACCGGUCACAUUGGGACUGAGAUACGGCCCAGACUCCUACGGGAGGCAGCAGUGGGGAAUAUUGCACAAUGGGCGCAGGCCUGAUGCAGCGACGCCGCGUGAGGGAUGGAGGCCUUCGGGUUGUGAACCUCUUUCGCUCAUGGUCAAGCCGCAACAAUGGUUGUGGUGAGGGUAGUGGGUAAAGAAGCGCCGGCUAACUACGUG